CCUUUUGUAUGUGGGAUGCCUCCACAGCACGGCUGAUGAGUAGAGUAGGUCUGUGCUCAGGAUCCAAACAGUGAACCCGAGCUGCUGAAGCACAGCUCGUGGAACUUUAGCCUCUGGGACACAGGGCCGGCCUGGUUAAAUUUUUUUAAGUGUACAAAUUAUAGUGUCUGAAAUAGUUUGGUAGUCCCCUCUUAUCUACAGUUUCACUUACCAUUGUUUCAGUUACUCACAGUCAAUCACGGUCCAAAAAUAUUAAAUGGAAAAUUCCAGAAAUAAAUAAUAAGUUUUAAAUUGCUCACUGUUCUGAAUAGCACGAUGAAAUCUCUUGCUGUCCUGCUCCAUCUUGCCUGGGAUGUGAGUCAUCCCUUUGUCAAGCACAUCCACACUGUGUAUGCUAUCCAACCCACAGUCAUUUAGUAGUCACCUCUGUUAGCAGACAGACUGUCAUGAUAUCGCAGUGCUUGUGUUCAAGUAACCCUUAUUUUAACCCAGCCAUCAACACUGUCAUGGCCUGAUGAUCCAGGAUCACCCAAAGCAGCCGAUCCUCCUCCUGAUGUAUUGUCGGAAGGCCACCAGUAGCCUAACGCUGCAUCCUAAGGCCUACAUCAUUCCCCUCACUGCAUCUCAUCACAGAGGCACUGCAUCCUCUCACAUCGUCACAAGGAGAAAGGUCUUAAGUACCUGAUAAAACUGAAUGGACCAGGCCCAUGAACACAGCCAUAGAGCACCCGCUCGGAGGGCAGGACUCAGCUGCUCCACCUCUGGUGAACCCGCUCAACUGUCCCAGCCCUGUGCCUCUAUCUCAGCUCCAGGGACCCCACAGGACGCCUGUCCAAUGCCUUGUCUUUGCCAGAACAUGCUAUUUUCUUGUUCAAUGAAAUUAGUAUUCCUCUCAAAGGAGGAAAUUAUGUUAAUUAAACAUGUCUUCUACUUACUGACCCUA
This is a long non-coding RNA of Equus quagga, 943 nucleotides long. RefSeq lists it as uncharacterized. The record is from RefSeq and is a predicted model, not a curated record. Lineage: Eukaryota; Metazoa; Chordata; Mammalia; Perissodactyla; Equidae. The transcript has 2 exons.